GAGCGGAAGGCCCUUCGGGGUACUCGAGCGGCGAACGGGUGAGUAACACGUGAGCAACCUGCCCCAGGCUUUGGGAUAACCCCGGGAAACCGGGGCUAAUACCGAAUAUGACCUUGCACCGCAUGGUGUUUGGUGGAAAGUUUUUCGGCUUGGGAUGGGCUCGCGGCCUAUCAGCUUGUUGGUGGGGUGAUGGCCUACCAAGGCGACGACGGGUAGCCGGCCUGAGAGGGCGACCGGCCACACUGGGACUGAGACACGGCCCAGACUCCUACGGGAGGCAGCAGUGGGGAAUAUUGCACAAUGGGCGGAAGCCUGAUGCAGCGACGCCGCGUGAGGGAUGACGGCCUUCGGGUUGUAAACCUCUUUCAGCAGGGACGAAGCGUAAGUGACGGUACCUGCAGAAGAAGCGCCGGCCAACUACGUGCCAGCAGCCGCGGUAAGACGUAGGGCGCGAGCGUUGUCCGGAUUUAUUGGGCGUAAAGAGCUCGUAGGCGGCUUGUCGCGUCGACCGUGAAAACCUGGGGCUCAACCCCAGGCCUGCGGUCGAUACGGGCAGGCUAGAGUUCGGUAGGGGAGACUGGAAUUCCUGGUGUAGCGGUGAAAUGCGCAGAUAUCAGGAGGAACACCGGUG
This 631-nucleotide ribosomal RNA is filed under the name Micromonospora sp. YIM 75008. Its description in RNAcentral is "bacterial SSU rRNA". It matches the Rfam family "Bacterial small subunit ribosomal RNA", at positions 64 to 714 of the family's 1533-position model. Lineage: Bacteria; Bacillati; Actinomycetota; Actinomycetes; Micromonosporales; Micromonosporaceae. The record is from RNAcentral.